RNAcentral lists this ribosomal RNA (492 nucleotides) under uncultured bacterium. Its description in RNAcentral is "partial 16S ribosomal RNA". It matches the Rfam family "Bacterial small subunit ribosomal RNA", at positions 29 to 507 of the family's 1533-position model. The record is from RNAcentral.
AGUGAACGCUGGCGGUAGGCCUAACACAUGCAAGUCGAACGGCAGCACAGUAAGAGCUUGCUCUUACGGGUGGCGAGUGGCGGACGGGUGAGGAAUACAGCGGAAUCUACUUUUUCGUGGGGGAUAACGUAGGGAAACUUACGCUAAUACCGCAUACGACCUACGGGUGAAAGCAGGGGAUCUUCGGACCUUGCGCGAUUGAAUGAGCCGAUGUCGGAUUAGCUAGUUGGCGGGGUAAAGGCCCACCAAGGCGACGAUCCGUAGCUGGUCUGAGAGGAUGAUCCGCCACACUGGAACUGAGCCACGGCCCAGACUCCUAGGGGAGGCAGCAGUGGGGAAUAUUGGACAAUGGGCGCAAGCCUGAUCCAGCCAUACCGCGUGGGUGAAGAAGGCCUUCGGGUUGUAAAGCCCUUUUGUUGGGAAAGAAAAGCAGCAGGUUAAUACCCCGCUGUUCUGACGGUACCCAAAGAAUAAGCACCGGCUAACUUCGUG